This 250-nucleotide ribosomal RNA is filed under the name uncultured bacterium. Its description in RNAcentral is "partial 16S ribosomal RNA". It matches the Rfam family "Bacterial small subunit ribosomal RNA", at positions 524 to 773 of the family's 1533-position model. The record is from RNAcentral.
GACGAGGGGUCCUAGCGUUGCUCGGAAUCAUUGGGCGUAAAGCGGGUGUAGGCGGCUUAGCAAGUCAGAAGUGAAAGUCCUGGGCUCAACCCGGGAAGUGCUUUUGAAACUGCUGAGCUUGAGUGUAGGAGAGGGCAGUAGAAUUCCUGGUGUAGUGGUGAAAUACGUAGAUAUCAGGAGGAAUACCGGAGGGGAAGCCGGCUGCCUGGCCUAACACUGACGCUCAGACCCGAAAGCGUGGGGAUCAAAC